Molecule: ribosomal RNA, 121 nt
Filed under: Pyrenochaeta sp. DS3sAY3a
Lineage: Eukaryota; Fungi; Ascomycota; Dothideomycetes; Pleosporales; Cucurbitariaceae
Source: RNAcentral
ACAUACGACCAUAGGACACUGAACAACAGGGCUUCCCGUCCGCUCAGCCUUACUUAAGCAGUGUACCGGCAGACUAGUAAUUGCGUGGGUGACCAGCAGUGAAUCCCUGCUGUCGUAUGUU